Molecule: long non-coding RNA, 1279 nt
Filed under: Dicentrarchus labrax (European seabass)
Lineage: Eukaryota; Metazoa; Chordata; Actinopteri; Moronidae
Description: lncRNA (ENSDLAG00005027023.1)
Source: RNAcentral
AUUGUUAUCAUUAUGUUUGUCUGGAAAUCAGCAGAAUGGGGGUGUUGAUUUCCAGCGGGUGGGUUUUCCUUUGUCCCUUUUUUUUUUUUUUUUUUUUGUUCUAACCCAGAUUUUCAUGUUUAACAGGCCCACAGCUGAUCCAUCCCCCAGUACACAAUUGAGACAGAGGAGGUUAAAGCACUCUGAACGCAUGGGACCAUAUUGCAGGUAUUUGUGCCUGUGGCAGGGUCUUGGUCUUUUGUUCUCCUCCUGCUCCUCCUCUGCAUCACAAGACGACCCGCAUGCACACGAGCUUCAGACAGGCUGUCCAUCCAUGGGGAGUCAGGGUGCCCUCAAAAACAUUGCCAAUGAGGGCUCCAAUGCCUCAGGCUGAUAUGGGUGAAACUUCGGAUGGCAGAUGGCACAGGGAAGGGAAAAGACCAUAUCUUUAAGGUAGAACUGCCAAACAAAAGUGGAACAUCAUAUCCUAGAGCCUUUCGUCCCUGGGCUGAGAUUAAAGCAUGAAAUAUAUGUUUAGAAGAGCCACAAAUGUCUUCAUUUCAAAAACUGUAAGUGAUCAAAGUGUCUGAUGUGUGGAGGCAUGCUGCAGGGUAUUUUUUUUCACGGGUUGACAAUAACCAAGGAAAUGUUUCACAGCUUGUUCAAAUGUCAUCAUUGAUAAACAGGACUGCCGAAGUUUAGUCUCAUUUAUUACGACAGCUAUCUGUUGUAGACUAAGGUAGUGCUAUGCUGUAUGUGCUCUGCUUUAUAUUAUAUGUACAUCAGUAUAACAGCAUGGUCUCUACGUCAAUAUAAUAAAUUGAGUACUGUAUUUGAAAGGCAUGUCCUUUUUCUCUGUCUUGUCCAGUUCACUCUUUUCAUUGCAAGUAUUUGUAGAUGUGUAUACAUCUGAAUUACCUCUGCCAGUCAACAGCAAGAAGUGAUCGGGCAGUUUUUAAUACCACUAGGCCCAUCUGGGAGAAGGACCCUUUUCAUUCGACAUACUUGGCUGCUUGUCGCCUCACCAUAAUGGGCACGUUGAACGAGCUCUGAAGCAAUAGCCAAUUAAAUGCCCUGAAGGGGAUGCCUCGAGGCCCUGCAUGAAAGGCUUCAGGUGUGAAAUGCUUGUUUUUCAAGAGUGCUGCAAAUGUUGGCUGCUUUCAAGUUUGCUAUUGCCCUGCUGGCUUCCCCUUCCAGCCCACCCCAACAGCCCUUCUCAUGUGGAGGAGGGUAGAGGGUAGAGGUGAUGGGCAAGAGAAGACCACUUAAGUACAAUUUUCUAUUCAGUGUUCCAAACCUG